GAUGAACGCUAGCGGCAGGCUUAACACAUGCAAGUCGAGGGGUAACAGGGAUUGCUUGCAAUCCGCUGACGACCGGCGAACGGGUGCGUAACGCGUAUGCAACUUACCUUUUACUGGGGGAUAGUCAAGAGAAAUUUUGAAUAAUACCCCAUACGAUCUGACUCACUCCUGUGAGAUAGAUGAAAAUUACGGUGGUAAAAGAUAGGCAUGCGUCCUAUUAGUUUGUUGGUGAGGUAACGGCUCACCAAGACUACGAUAGGUAGGGGUCCUGGGAGGGAGAUCCCCCAAACCGGUACUGAGACACGGACCAGACUCCUACGGGAGGCAGCAGUGAGGAAUAUUGGACAAUGGAGGCAACUCUGAUCCAGCCAUGCCGCGUGCAGGAAGACGGCCCUAUGGGUUGUAAACUGCUUUUAUACAGGAAGAAACGUUAGUACGUGUACUAGCCUGACGGUACUGUAAGAAUAAGGAUCGGCUAACUCCGUGCCAGCCGCCGCGGUAACAC
This 505-nucleotide ribosomal RNA is filed under the name uncultured bacterium. Its description in RNAcentral is "bacterial SSU rRNA". It matches the Rfam family "Bacterial small subunit ribosomal RNA", at positions 28 to 526 of the family's 1533-position model. The record is from RNAcentral.